UAGAAGUGACAGCACUGCUCUACCUGUACAGGAAUAACCACCACAAGGACGUUCUCCCUCGCUGUAUAUCUGGAAGUUUGGGAAACCUUAUGGAUGAUAAGAGAAUGAUUUCUGUGCCAGACUGAUAUUGUCGAGCUGUCUCUUAUUCUACAUGAUAUCUGGCUGAAGAACAGAAGCCAGAGUAAUGAAGAUGUGGAACAGCAAUGUCAGAACAAAGAUGAAGAUAAAUAGGCCAUUGUAGUAAAUGAAGAAAAAGGCUUUAAGUAUAAUCAACACACAUCAAAGUUGCUGGUGAAUGCAGCAGGCCAAGCAGCAUCUAUAGGAAGAGGCGCAGUCGACGUUUCAGGCCGAGACCCUUCGUCAGGACUAACUGAAGGAAGAGUACAGCUUACGUACAGCUUACAUACAGCUGGCAUGAUGCUCACAGAGUGAACAGUCCACAGUAGAAGCACAGUCUGGCUUCCUCCACUGAUUGUCAGAGUUGGAUGACCACCCCCGUCCUCGUCUUUACCGAGUUUCAGCACUGCGAUUGGCUUCAUAUCCACCAUCAUUUUCAACAGCUGCUCAUUUCAUAGCAACUACAGCGAGAGGGGGUUAGCUUUAUACAAUAUUUUAAUUAUUUUAUGCAUGAAUUAGUGGGUACACUGAACCAUCAGAAAGGUAAGGAAACAGUACCUCGGCUGUCCAAGUGGACAGUCAGUGGCUGUUUGGAAUCACCAUCGUUCCUGACACUUGUUCAUUGUACUUACUCAUCAAUGAAUUUCUCUGCUGCUUUGUAAUCAGCAGACACCACAAACCCACAAAUCUUCAAAGAUUUAAUGCUGUGCCUUUUCUUAAAUUUCUGCAACCAGCCUUCUGGAUAUUCACAAUUACCUUCACUUUUCAGUUUGUUGUGAUAUAUCUUUACUUGUUUCAUGAUCAACAUACCGUUAGAUGGCAUGUGUUCACUUCAGCACUCAUGAAUCCAUUCUUCCAAUAUAUAAUGUGAUCAAGAUCUUCAAUUACCAUUUCAUGCAGUGACUUUCUAUUUUUCAUUAACUUGUUCAUUACAUAUGCGAGCUCACUUCUCAGAAUAGAGACCUGCGGACCAUCUGGGAACCUAAACAGCGUCUAGUGGAAUUUUCCAGUUGUGACAUAAUGUCAGCACUCAAAAAAAAUUUGAAUUUCAGAGACUUUCAGAUUUUGGAUAAGGAGUGCUCAAUCUGUACUUCAAUUUAAAAUUGAUUGCUUGCAUGACAGUCUUCGAACUGAAGAAAGCUUAAAGUGUGUUAAAGUAGUUCAACCAAACUAAAAACAUUUAUUUUAAAGGAAAUCAUUGAAAGUAUAUUUUGUUUGGUUGAAGGUCCUCAGCAUUGUUUGUUAAUGGAAACUGUUCUGUUGUUGAAUUGUUAGUUUCUAAAAUAAAAUGUUGCUUGAAGAUACAAUAUGUGCUAAUUAACAUCGAAUGCAAUGUAAUGUGAAUUGUUUUAUAAUUUGUAAAUAUGACUAACCUAAAAA
Molecule: long non-coding RNA, 1497 nt
Organism: Mobula hypostoma (lesser devil ray)
Lineage: Eukaryota; Metazoa; Chordata; Chondrichthyes; Myliobatiformes; Myliobatidae
Exons: 3
Source: RefSeq, a predicted model, not a curated record